AUCGCUUCUUGGCCUUUUGGCUAAGAUCAAGUGUAGUUUCUGUUCUUAUCAGUUUAAUAUCUGAUACGUUCUCUAUCUGAGGACAACAUAUUAAGUGUAUUUUUGCAAGUGGAAGUUGGACCAGGAGCUUGCUUUAUCCACUCUGCACAUCAGCCUCGUAUUGCAGUGCUUCCAGGGAUGGUGCAGGCCUU
Molecule: small nuclear RNA, 191 nt
Organism: Echinops telfairi (small Madagascar hedgehog)
Lineage: Eukaryota; Metazoa; Chordata; Mammalia; Afrosoricida; Tenrecidae
Product: U2 spliceosomal RNA
Exons: 1
Source: RefSeq, a predicted model, not a curated record